GUUGUAAGAGAUAAAACGCCCAAUCUGCAUGUUGCUCUUGCAUUUGGUUUCAUGGCUCAUUAAAAUGACAUAUUAUGAUGUACUUUACUUGCUUUGGUUUCUCUGCUGAAAUGUUGAUCAAUGUGUUCCUCAAUGAAAUGAAAUGUUUGUCAUUGUCUUCUCCUGCUACCUGAAAAAGGAAGGUCUACUGAAUCUCUACUAGUAGACACCAUUGAUCUCCACUGAUUUACAAGAAUAAUAAUGUGAAACCAAUGAAAACAUGAUGGCAUGCAGCACAGAUGGAAGGUAGAACACAGUUACAGAUGGUGAUGUUGCCAUUUGAAAGUAAGAAGAAAACUGGUAUCUCUUGGGUUACCAAGAGUAAAAAUAUAGAAGAUGCUUAUAAACUGCCAUCCAUAGAGUUUCUUGAAAUCACAGUUUGGGAAUGGAGGAAAAGGCUGCUUGAGUGUUUGGAAAUGGAGACUAAGGAUGAGAUAGAGUGGGGUAAGCCUGAAUUAACCUGGAGUGAGAGCAGAACGUAGAAUAUAUGUAUUAAUAAUAUAUAUAAACUAGGAAAUAACUUGACCUGUAAUUCAAACAUAAUCUUAGUGUAUUUUUUAAAUUUACACAUAAAUACAACCCAUACUUAUGUUGUUCAAGAAAUACUUAUUUAGUAAUUUAUUGAGUUGUAAUUUCUUAAUGUUUACCUUCAGUAUUAAGAGGGAGUAG
RNAcentral lists this long non-coding RNA (708 nucleotides) under Macaca mulatta (Rhesus monkey). Its description in RNAcentral is "lncRNA (ENSMMUG00000049969.1)". The record is from RNAcentral. Lineage: Eukaryota; Metazoa; Chordata; Mammalia; Primates; Cercopithecidae.